GACGAACGCUGGCGGCGUGCUUAACACAUGCAAGUCGAGCGGUAAGGCUCCUUCGGGAGUACACGAGCGGCGAACGGGUGAGUAACACGUGAGCAAUCUGCCCUUCUCAUCGGAAUAACCAUUGGAAACGAUGGCUAAUGCCGAAUAUGACCUCGGAUCACAUGUUCUGAGGUGGAAAGCUCCGGCGGAGAAAGAUGAGCUCGCGGCCUAUCAGCUGUUGGUGAGGUAAUAGCUCACCAAGGCGAUGACGGGUAGCCGGCCUGAGAGGGUGACCGGCCACGCUGGGACUGAGACACGGCCCAGACUCCUACGGGAGGCAGCAGUGGGGAAUAUUGGACAAUGGGCGAAAGCCUGAUCCAGCAACGCCGCGUGAGGGA
RNAcentral lists this ribosomal RNA (377 nucleotides) under uncultured bacterium. RNAcentral's name for it is "bacterial SSU rRNA". It matches the Rfam family "Bacterial small subunit ribosomal RNA", at positions 28 to 408 of the family's 1533-position model. The record is from RNAcentral.